AGUGAACGCUGGCGGUAGGCCUAACACAUGCAAGUCGAACGGCAGCACAGUAAGAGCUUGCUCUUACGGGUGGCGAGUGGCGGACGGGUGAGGAAUACAUCGGAAUCUACUUUUUCGUGGGGGAUAACGUAGGGAAACUUACGCUAAUACCGCAUACGACCUACGGGUGAAAGCAGGGGAUCUUCGGACCUUGCGCGAUUGAAUGAGCCGAUGUCGGAUUAGCUAGUUGGCGGGGUAAAGGCCCACCAAGGCGACGAUCCGUAGCUGGUCUGAGAGGAUGAUCAGCCACACUGGAACUGAGACACGGUCCAGACUCCUACGGGAGGCAGCAGUGGGGAAUAUUGGACAAAGGGCGCAAGCCUGAACCAGCCAUACCGCGUGGGUGAAGAAGGCCUUCGGGUUGUAAAGCCCUUUUGUUGGGAAAGAAAAGCAGCAGAUUGAUACCCCGCUGUUCUGACGGUACCCAAAGAAUAAGCACCGGCUAACUUCGUG
This 492-nucleotide ribosomal RNA is filed under the name uncultured bacterium. RNAcentral describes it as "partial 16S ribosomal RNA". It matches the Rfam family "Bacterial small subunit ribosomal RNA", at positions 29 to 507 of the family's 1533-position model. The record is from RNAcentral.